AAUGAUACCCAGGUAGUCCACGCCGUAAACGAUGAGUGCUAAGUGUUAGAGGGUUUCCGCCCUUUAGUGCUGCAGCUAACGCAUUAAGCACUCCGCCUGGGGAGUACGGUCGCAAGACUGAAACUCAAAGGAAUUGACGGGGGCCCGCACAAGCGGUGGAGCAUGUGGUUUAAUUCGAAGCAACGCGAAGAACCUUACCAGGUCUUGACAUCCUCUGACAACUCUAGAGAUAGAGCGUUCCCCUUCGGGGGACAGAGUGACAGGUGGUGCAUGGUUGUCGUCAGCUCGUGUCGUGAGAUGUUGGGUUAAGUCCCGCAACGAGCGCAACCCUUGAUCUUAGUUGCCAGCAUUUAGUUGGGCACUCUAAGGUGACUGCCGGUGACAAACCGGAGGAAGGUGGGGAUGACGUCAAAUCAUCAUGCCCCUUAUGACCUGGGCUACACACGUGCUACAAUGGAUGGUACAAAGGGCUGCAAGACCGCGAGGUCAGCCAAUCCCAUAAAACCAUUCUCAGUUCGGAUUGUAGGU
This 528-nucleotide ribosomal RNA is filed under the name uncultured bacterium. RNAcentral describes it as "bacterial SSU rRNA". It matches the Rfam family "Bacterial small subunit ribosomal RNA", at positions 778 to 1305 of the family's 1533-position model. The record is from RNAcentral.